Molecule: ribosomal RNA, 253 nt
Filed under: uncultured bacterium
Lineage: Bacteria
Description: partial 16S ribosomal RNA
Rfam family: Bacterial small subunit ribosomal RNA
Source: RNAcentral
UACGUAGGGGGCAAGCGUUGUCCGGAAUCAUUGGGCGUAAAGCGCGUGUAGGCGGCCAGAAAAGUCCGCUGUGAAAACUCGAGGCUCAACUUCGAGCUGUCGGUGGAAACUUUCUGGCUAGAGUCCGGAAGAGGAGAAUGGAAUUCCUGGUGUAGCGGUGAAAUGCGCAGAGAUGUGGAGGAACACCGAUGGCGAAGGCAGCCCCCUGGGCUAACACUGACGCUCAGGCACGAAAGCGUGGGGAGCAAACAGG